GCCUGCAAGCCAUCCAAUAAUCGGAUUCUCAUCAUCAAUGGCAUAAUCAUCUAUCGUCAGAUCCGUAUACUUCAGCUGUACUUCAUUUUGGAUACAUUUUAACCUUAAUCUCAAAUUAUAAUGCACAUAAACAAGAUCAUUGAGGUGCUUUUGUGUCAGAUGGUUUUUCUGUUUGCUGUGAAUAAGAGCAAAAAUUGAACCAAUUGCGCUCACACC
This 216-nucleotide long non-coding RNA is filed under the name Elaeis guineensis (African oil palm). RNAcentral's name for it is "long non-coding RNA (EGUI_LNC062342)". Lineage: Eukaryota; Viridiplantae; Streptophyta; Magnoliopsida; Arecales; Arecaceae. The record is from RNAcentral.